AUUGAACGCUGGCGGCAGGCCUAACACAUGCAAGUCGAGCGGAUGAAGGGAGCUUGCUCCUGGAUUCAGCGGCGGACGGGUGAGUAAUGCCUAGGAAUCUGCCUGGUAGUGGGGGAUAACGUCCGGAAACGGGCGCUAAUACCGCAUACGUCCUGAGGGAGAAAGUGGGGGAUCUUCGGACCUCACGCUAUCAGAUGAGCCUAGGUCGGAUUAGCUAGUUGGUGGGGUAAAGGCCUACCAAGGCGACGAUCCGUAACUGGUCUGAGAGGAUGAUCAGUCACACUGGAACUGAGACACGGUCCAGACUCCUACGGGAGGCAGCAGUGGGGAAUAUUGGACGAUGGGCGAAAGCCUGAUCCAGCCAUGCCGCGUGUGUGAAGAAGGUCUUCGGAUUGUAAAGCACUUUAGGUUGGGAGGAAGGGCAGUAAAUUAAUACCUUGCUGUUUUGACGUUACCAACAGAAUAAGCACCGGCUAACUUCGUG
RNAcentral lists this ribosomal RNA (484 nucleotides) under uncultured bacterium. Its description in RNAcentral is "partial 16S ribosomal RNA". It matches the Rfam family "Bacterial small subunit ribosomal RNA", at positions 30 to 507 of the family's 1533-position model. The record is from RNAcentral.